UAAGAAGUUACUCAAGCGCACAUAACGGAUGCCUUGACACAAGUUACCGAUGAAGGACGUAGUAGGCUGCGAUAAGCUUCGGGGAGCUGCCAAACAAGCUUUGAACCGAAGAUAUCCGAAUGGGGAAACCCUAUCAGAGUCAUGUCUGAUAGCUCUUAUCUGAACACAUAGGAUAAGAAGCGGGAACCGGGGGAACUGAAACAUCUUAGUACCUCGAGGAAGAGAAAAUAACCAAUGAUUCCGGCAGUAGUGGCGAGCGAACCCGGAAGAGCCCAAACCUUUUAUGCUUCCGUCUAUUAAUGACGGAUAAGUUGGUAGACGAAUGUAUAACAGGGGUUGUGACACUACAAACAAUCCAUGCAGAUUACUUGAAUGCGCUUUGCGCAAGCUCGAGUCUUCUGUAUGGCUAGCAGGUGCUACCACCAGCCUGCACAAGGUAAAAAUUUGCUGCAAAGCAAAGCGAAGCGAGCAGAACAGGCUGGAAAGCCUGGCCAAAGACGGUGAUAGCCCCGUAUGCCAAGUAUUCGCAAACCUUGUAUUUGUAGGAGUCUGUUAAGGGAUUUUAUCUCUCAUACAGACUCGUAUGUCGAGUAGGUCGGGACACGAGAAACCCUGACUGAAGCUGGGACGACCACGUUCCAAGGCUAAAUAUAACUUGUGAUCGAUAGCGAACUAGUACCGCGAGGGAAAGGUAAAAAGAACCCCGGGAGGGGAGUGAAAUAGAACCUGAAAUUGUGUGCGUACAAGGAGUCGGAGCCGCGCUCUUCGUAGUCGAAGAGCUUCAACUCUGCUCAAGCUUUAAGUAAAAUAAUAUUGGCGUUCAAUCUACGCGAGAUUGCCAGACGCGCUACCUGGUAAUGGUCUAUGACUUAGAUUGAGGACUCCAUUUUUGAAUGGUUUUGAAGGGAGAGCAGCCGGACAAAAUGUAUUCCAUUUUGCCCGCGCGAUGAGAGGGAAAGUCAUUCCCUCUCAUGAGCUCAUCGCUUGCGAUGAGCGUGGUGACGGCGUGCUUUUUGUAGAACGAUCCAGCGAGUUACUGGUUAUGGCAAGCUUAAGCCAUUUGGCGGAGGCGCAGUGAAAGCGAGGGUGAAUAGCCCGACUUUAGUCAUAAUUAGUAGACCCGAAACCAGGUGACCUAACCAUGGCCAGGUUGAAGCGUAGGUAAAACUACGUGGAGGACCGAACCAGAGCAUGCUGCAAAAUGCUUGGAUGACCUGUGGUUAGCGGUGAAAUGCCAAUCGAACCUGGAGAUAGCUGGUUCUCCUCGAAAUAGCUUUAGGGCUAGCGUCGUACGGUAACUAUCUGGGGUAGAGCUCUGUU
RNAcentral lists this ribosomal RNA (1320 nucleotides) under Candidatus Saccharimonadota bacterium. RNAcentral describes it as "partial 23S ribosomal RNA". It matches the Rfam family "Bacterial large subunit ribosomal RNA", at positions 1 to 914 of the family's 2925-position model. Lineage: Bacteria; Candidatus Saccharimonadota. The record is from RNAcentral.